This 74-nucleotide transfer RNA is filed under the name Candidatus Uhrbacteria bacterium. RNAcentral's name for it is "tRNA-Trp". It matches the Rfam family "tRNA". From Rfam's summary of the family: Transfer RNA (tRNA) molecules are approximately 80 nucleotides in length. Their secondary structure includes four short double-helical elements and three loops (D, anti-codon, and T loops). Further hydrogen bonds mediate the characteristic L-shaped molecular structure. tRNAs have two regions of fundamental functional importance: the anti-codon, which is responsible for specific mRNA codon recognition, and the 3' end, to which the tRNAs corresponding amino acid is attached (by aminoacyl-tRNA synthetases). tRNAs cope with the degeneracy of the genetic code in two manners: having more than one tRNA (with a specific anti-codon) for a particular amino acid; and 'wobble' base-pairing, i.e. permitting non-standard base-pairing at the 3rd anti-codon position. The record is from RNAcentral. Lineage: Bacteria; Candidatus Uhriibacteriota.
AGGGGUGUGGUGAAGUGGUAUCACAUCGGUCUCCAAAACCGCUAUUGCAGGUUCGAUUCCUGCCACCCCUGCCA